GUCGCAAGACCAAAGUGGGGGACCUUCGGGCCUCAUGCCAUCAGAUGUGCCCAGAUGGGAUUAGCUAGUAGGUGGGGUAACGGCUCACCUAGGCGACGAUCCCUAGCUGGUCUGAGAGGAUGACCAGCCACACUGGAACUGAGACACGGUCCAGACUCCUACGGGAGGCAGCAGUGGGGAAUAUUGCACAAUGGGCGCAAGCCUGAUGCAGCCAUGCCGCGUGUGUGAAGAAGGCCUUCGGGUUGUAAAGCACUUUCAGCGGGGAGGAAGGCGUUAAGGUUAAUAACCUUGGCGAUUGACGUUACCCGCAGAAGAAGCACCGGCUAACUCCGUGCCAGCAGCCGCGGUAAUACGGAGGGUGCAAGCGUUAAUCGGAAUUACUGGGCGUAAAGCGCACGCAGGCGGUCUGUCAAGUCGGAUGUGAAAUCCCCGGGCUCAACCUGGGAACUGCAUUCGAAACUGGCAGGCUAGAGUCUUGUAGAGGGGGGUAGAAUUCCAGGUGUAGCGGUCAACUGCGUAGAGA
RNAcentral lists this ribosomal RNA (523 nucleotides) under Klebsiella pneumoniae. RNAcentral's name for it is "bacterial SSU rRNA". It matches the Rfam family "Bacterial small subunit ribosomal RNA", at positions 192 to 696 of the family's 1533-position model. The record is from RNAcentral. Lineage: Bacteria; Pseudomonadati; Pseudomonadota; Gammaproteobacteria; Enterobacterales; Enterobacteriaceae.